UGGGGAAUAUUGCACAAUGGGCGGAAGCCUGAUGCAGCGACGCCGCGUGGGGGAUGAAGGCCUUCGGGUUGUAAACUCCUUUCGACAGGGACGAAGCUUUUGUGACGGUACCUGUAUAAGAAGCACCGGCUAACUACGUGCCAGCAGCCGCGGUAAUACGUAGGGUGCGAGCGUUGUCCGGAAUUACUGGGCGUAAAGAGCUCGGAGGUGGUUUGUCGCGUCGUCUGUGAAAUUCCGGGGCUUAACUCCGGGCGUGCAAGCGAUACGGGCUGACAUGAGUGCUGUAGGGGAGACUGGAAUUCCUGAUAUAGCGGUAAAAUGCGCAGAUAUCAGGAGGAACACCGAUGGCGAAGGAAGGUCGCUGGGCAGUAACUGACGCUGAGGAGCGAAAGCAUGGGUAGCGAACAGG
Molecule: ribosomal RNA, 409 nt
Filed under: Actinomycetes bacterium
Lineage: Bacteria; Bacillati; Actinomycetota; Actinomycetes
Description: Actinobacteria bacterium partial 16S ribosomal RNA
Rfam family: Bacterial small subunit ribosomal RNA
Source: RNAcentral